UGUGGAAUUGCACAGACAACCAGGAUGUUGGCUCAGAAGCAGCCACACAUUUAAAGAGUGCGUAAUAGCUCACUGGUCGAGUGAUUGUGCGCCGAAGAUGUCCGGGGCUAAACGUGACACCGAAGCGAUGGGUGCAUCUGAAGAAGAUGCGCGGUAGAGGAGCAAUGUGCAGAGGCAGAAGCCGUAUCGAGAGGCACGGUGGACACUGCACAAGAGAGAAUGCCGGUAUGAGUAGCGAGAGGCAUGCGAGAAACAUGCCCGUCGAAAGCCCAAGGUUUCCUGGGGAAGGUUCAUCCGCCCAGGGUAAGUCGGGGCCUAAGCCGAGGACGGAAGUCGUAGGCGAUGGACAGCAGGUGUAGAUUCCUGCACUACCGAUGGAAUGAAGCAGUGACACAGAAGGAUAACUCGAGCAGGGUGAUGGUCAACCCUGUGCAAGCAUCAAGGUUGGGUUGUAGUGAAGUACGCAACCCUAUAAGCUGAGAUGUGAUGCGGACCGAAAUUUCAGUAGGGAAGCGAGUGAGUUCACGCUGGCGAGAAAAGCUGCUAGUACAUCCAAAGGUACCCGUACCGGAAACCGACGCAGGUGGGCGAGGAGAGAAUCCUGAGACGAACGGGAGAACCCUUGUUAAGGAACUCGGCAAAAUGACCCCGUAACUUCGGGAUAAGGGGUGCCUGCGAGAGCAGGCCGCAGAGAAUAGUCACAAGCGACUGUUUAGCAAAAACACAGGUAUCUGCGAAAGCGAGAGCUGACGUAUAGGUGCUGACACCUGCCCGGUGCUGGAAGGUUAAGGGAACAUGUUAGAGCAAUCGAAGCAUCGAACCGAAGCCCCAGUAAACGGCGGCCGUAACUAUAACGGUCCUAAGGUAGCGAAAUUCCUUGUCGGGUAAGUUCCGACCCGCACGAAUGGUGUAACGACUUGUGAGCUGUCUCAACAGGGGGCCCGGUGAAAUUGAAGUAUGGGUGAAGAUGCCCAUUACCCGCGACUGGACGGAAAGACCCCGUAGAGCUUUACUGCAGCCUGAUAUUGAGUUUCGGUAACUGAUGCACAGGAUAGGUGGGAGUCUGAGAGACAUGGGUUUCGGCUCAUGUGGAGACGGUGUUGGGAUACCACUCUUCGGUUACUGAAAUUCUAACAUAGCUCUGUGAAACCAGAGGAUGGACAGUGUCAGGUGGACAGUUUGACUGGGGCGGUCGCCUCCGAAAGAGUAACGGAGGCGCCCAAAGGUACCCUCAGAAUGGAUGGAAACCAUUCGAAGAGCGCAAAGGCAGAAGGGUGCCUGACUGCGAGAGUGACAACUCGAGCAGAGACGAAAGUCGGGCUUAGUGAUCCGGCGGUAUUGAGUGGAAAAGCCGUCGCUUAACGGAUAAAAGCUACCUCGGGGAUAACAGGCUGAUCUCCCCCAAGAGUCCACAUCGACGGGGAGGUUUGGCACCUCGAUGUCGGCUCGUCGCAUCCUGGGGCUGAAGCAGGUCCCAAGGGUUUGGCUGUUCGCCAAUUAAAGCGGCACGCGAGCUGGGUUCAGAACGUCGUGAGACAGUUCGGUCCCUAUCCAUCGUGGGCGUAGGAGUCAUGAGAGGAGCUGUUCCUAGUACGAGAGGACCGGAAUGGACGCACCACUGGUGCAACUGUUGUCGUGCCAACGGCAUAGCAGGGAAGCGAAGUGCGGAUGGGAUAAACGCUGAAGGCAUCUAAGCGUGAAGCCCACCUCAAGAAUAAGACUCCACAAUAGACCCCUGGAGGACUACCAGGUAGAUAGGUCAUCGGUGGAAGCGCUGUAAGGCGUGUAGCUUGAUGAUACUAAUCGGUCGAAAGCUUCAUUUA
Molecule: ribosomal RNA, 1823 nt
Filed under: human gut metagenome
Description: bacterial LSU rRNA
Rfam family: Bacterial large subunit ribosomal RNA
Source: RNAcentral